RNAcentral lists this transfer RNA (74 nucleotides) under Ligilactobacillus acidipiscis. Its description in RNAcentral is "tRNA-Trp". It matches the Rfam family "tRNA". Rfam says of the family: Transfer RNA (tRNA) molecules are approximately 80 nucleotides in length. Their secondary structure includes four short double-helical elements and three loops (D, anti-codon, and T loops). Lineage: Bacteria; Bacillati; Bacillota; Bacilli; Lactobacillales; Lactobacillaceae. The record is from RNAcentral. RNAcentral also lists the same sequence under 3 other names.
AGGGAUAUAGUUCAAGGGCAGAACAACGGUCUCCAAAACCGUCGAUGCGGGUUCGAUUCCUGCUAUCCCUGCCA